AUUGAACGCUGGCGGCAGGCUUAACACAUGCAAGUCGAGCGGGGGAAGGUAGCUUGCUACCGGACCUAGCGGCGGACGGGUGAGUAAUGCUUAGGAAUCUGCCUAUUAGUGGGGGACAACAUCUCGAAAGGGAUGCUAAUACCGCAUACGUCCUACGGGAGAGAGCAGGGGAUCUUCGGACCUUGCGCUAAUAGAUGAGCCUAAGUCGGAUUAGCUAGUUGGUGGGGUAAAGGCCUACCAAGGCGACGAUCUGUAGCGGGUCUGAGAGGAUGAUCAGCCACACUGGGACUGAGACACGGCCCAGACUCCUACGGGAGGCAGCAGUGGGGAAUAUUGGACAAUGGGGGGAACCCUGAUCCAGCCAUGCCGCGUGUGUGAAGAAGGCCUUAUGGUUGUAAAGCACUUUAAGCGAGGAGGAGGCUUCUCUAGUUAAUACCUAGGGAUAGUGGACGUUACUCGCAGAAUAAGCACCGACUAACUCUGUGCCAGCCGCCGCAGUAA
This 501-nucleotide ribosomal RNA is filed under the name uncultured bacterium. Its description in RNAcentral is "partial 16S ribosomal RNA". It matches the Rfam family "Bacterial small subunit ribosomal RNA", at positions 30 to 523 of the family's 1533-position model. The record is from RNAcentral.